This 1271-nucleotide ribosomal RNA is filed under the name uncultured bacterium. Its description in RNAcentral is "bacterial SSU rRNA". It matches the Rfam family "Bacterial small subunit ribosomal RNA", at positions 104 to 1367 of the family's 1533-position model. The record is from RNAcentral.
GGGUGAGUAAAGUAUCGGAACGUACCAUUCAGUGGGGGAUAACGUAGCGAAAGUUACGCUAAUACCGCAUAUUCUGUGAGCAGGAAAGCAGGGGAUCGCAAGACCUUGCGCUGAUUGAGCGGCCGAUAUCAGAUUAGCUAGUUGGUGAGGUAAAAGCUCACCAAGGCGACGAUCUGUAGCGGGUCUGAGAGGAUGAUCCGCCACACUGGAACUGAGACACGGUCCAGACUCCUACGGGAGGCAGCAGUGGGGAAUUUUGGACAAUGGGGGCAACCCUGAUCCAGCCAUGCCGCGUGAGUGAAGAAGGCCUUCGGGUUGUAAAGCUCUUUCGGCCGGGAAAAAAUCGCAUGGGUUAAUACCUCGUGUGGAUGAUGGUACCGGAAUAAGAAGCACCGGCUAACUACGUGCCAGCAGCCGCGGUAAUACGUAGGGUGCGAGCGUUAAUCGGAAUUACUGGGCGUAAAGCGUGCGCAGGCGGUUUGAUAAGACAGGCGUGAAAUCCCCGGGCUCAACCUGGGAACUGCGUUUGUGACUGUCUCACUAGAGUACGGCAGAGGGGGGGGUGGAAUUCCACGUGUAGCAGUGAAAUGCGUAGAGAUGUGGAGGAACACCAAUGGCGAAGGCAGCCCCCCUGGGUCGAUACUGACGCUCAUGCACGAAAGCGUGGGUAGCAAACAGGACUAGAUACCCUGGUAGUCCACGCCCUAAACGAUGUCAACUAGGUGUUGGGUGGGUAAAACCAUUUAGUACCGUAGCUAACGCGAGAAGUUGACCGCCUGGGGAGUACGGCCGCAAGGUUAAAACUCAAAGGAAUUGACGGGGACCCGCACAAGCGGUGGAUGAUGUGGAUUAAUUCGAUGCAACGCGAAAAACCUUACCUACCCUUGACAUGUUCAGAAGGCCGAAGAGAUUUGGCUGUACUCGAAAGAGAACUGAAACACAGGUGCUGCAUGGCUGUCGUCAGCUCGUGUCGUGAGAUGUUGGGUUAAGUCCCGCAACGAGCGCAACCCUUGUCGUUAAUUGCCAUCAUUCAGUUGGGCACUUUAACGAAACUGCCGGUGACAAACCGGAGGAAGGUGGGGAUGACGUCAAGUCCUCAUGGCCCUUAUGGGUAGGGCUUCACACGUCAUACAAUGGUCGGUACAAAGGGUUGCCAACCCGCGAGGGGGAGCUAAUCCCAGAAAGCCGAUCGUAGUCCGGAUCGCAGGCUGCAACUCGCCUGCGUGAAGUCGGAAUCGCUAGUAAUCGUGGAUCAGCAUGUCACGGUGAAU